Molecule: ribosomal RNA, 460 nt
Filed under: uncultured bacterium
Lineage: Bacteria
Description: partial 16S ribosomal RNA
Rfam family: Bacterial small subunit ribosomal RNA
Source: RNAcentral
CCUACGGGAGGCAGCAGUGAGGAAUAUUGGUCAAUGGCCGGAAGGCUGACCCAGCCAUGCCGCGUGAAGGUCAGUGCCCUAUGGGCGUUAAACUUCUUUUGUGCGGGAGCAAUAAUGGUCACGUGUGGCCAGACGAGAGUACCGUACAAAUAAGCAUAGGCUAACUCCGUGCAAGCAGCCGCGGUAAUACGGGGGAUGCAAGCGUUAUCCGGAUUUAUUGGGUUUAAAGGGUGCGUAAGCUGUGAGGUAAGUCAGCGGUGAAAUGCCCCCGCUCAACGGGGUGAAGUGCCAUUGAUACUGCAUUGCUGGAGUGCAGAUGCCGAGGGAGGAAUGUGUGGUGUAGCGGUGAAAUGCAUAGAGAUCACACAGAACACCGAUUGCGAAGGCAUCUCACGAAUCCGCGAUUGACGCUGAUGCACGAAAGCGUGGGUAUCAAACAGGAUUAGAUACCCUUGUAGUC